Oncorhynchus tshawytscha (Chinook salmon) is the source of this 890-nucleotide long non-coding RNA. NCBI's taxonomy places the organism in Eukaryota, Metazoa, Chordata, Actinopteri, Salmoniformes, Salmonidae. The record is from Ensembl.
GGGUUUGGCCCAGCGUCGUCCGGGUUAGGGGAGGGUUUGGCCCAGCGUCGUCCGGGUUAGGGGAGGGUUUGGCCCAGCGUCGUCCGGGUUAGGGGAGGGUUUGGCCCAGCGUCGUCCGGGUUAGGGGAGGGUUUGGCCCAGCGUCGUCCGGGUUAGGGGAGGGUUUGGCCGGCUGGGAUUUCCUUGGCCCAUCGGGCUCUAGCUACUCCAUGUUGCGGGCCGGCCGCCUGCAAACUGACUUCGGUCACCAGUUGGACAGUGUUUCCUCUGACACGUUGGUGCUUCCGGGUUGAGCAAGAAGCAGUGCGGCUUGGCAGGGUUGUAUUUCGGAGGACGCAUGGCUCUCGAACUUCGCCUCUCCCAAGUCCGUAGGGGAGUUGCAGCGAUGGGACAAGACUGUAACUACCAAUCCACUACCAAAUAUAUAAAUAAAAAGAAAGAAAAAAUGUUACAUUUUUUGAAGCUUCAAAAAAACAAUUUUAUUCUAAAAUUUUAUUCUAAAAUGUUGUUCACAGACUAGAUAAUUCAGCCACGUGACAGAUGUGGCAUAUCAAGAAACUGAUUAAACAACAUGAUCAUUACACCUGUGUACCUUGUGCUGGGGACAAUAAAAGGCCACUCUAAAAUGUGCAGUUUUGUCACACAACACAAUGCCACAGAUGUCUCAAGUUUUGAGGGAGCGUGCAAUUGGCAAGCUGACUGCAGGAAUGUCCACCAGAGCUGUGGCAGAUAAUUGAAUGUGCAUUUCUCUACCAUAAGCCGUCUUCAAUGCAGUUUUAGAGAAUUUGACUGUACGUCCAACCGGCCUCACAAACGUAGACACGUGUAACCACGCCAGCCCAGGACUUCCACAUCCGGCUUCUUCACCUGAGGGAUCAUCUGAGACCAGC